This 445-nucleotide ribosomal RNA is filed under the name uncultured bacterium. RNAcentral describes it as "partial 16S ribosomal RNA". It matches the Rfam family "Bacterial small subunit ribosomal RNA", at positions 354 to 796 of the family's 1533-position model. The record is from RNAcentral.
GUGAGGAAUAUUGGUCAAUGGGCGAGAGCCUGAACCAGCCAAGUCGCGUGAAGGAAGAAGGAUCUAUGGUUCGUAAACUUCUUUUGCAGGGGAAUAAAGUGCAGGACGUGUCCUGUUUUGUAUGUACCCUGAGGAUAAGGAUCGGCUAACUCCGUGCCAGCAGCCGCGGUAAUACGGAGGAUCCGAGCGUUAUCCGGAUUUAUUGGGUUUAAAGGGUGCGUAGGUGGUUUGAUAAGUCAGCGGUGAAAGUUUGCAGCUUAACUGUAAAAAUGCCGUUGAAACUGUCGGACUUGAGUGUAAAUGAGGUAGGCGGAAUGCGUGGUGUAGCGGUGAAAUGCAUAGAUAUCACGCAGAACUCCGAUUGCGAAGGCAGCUUACUAAGCUACAACUGACACUGAAGCACGAAAGCGUGGGGAUCAAACAGGAUUAGAAACCCUUGUAGUCC